RNAcentral lists this ribosomal RNA (497 nucleotides) under uncultured bacterium. RNAcentral describes it as "partial 16S ribosomal RNA". It matches the Rfam family "Bacterial small subunit ribosomal RNA", at positions 28 to 507 of the family's 1533-position model. The record is from RNAcentral.
GACGAACGCUGGCGGCGUGCCUAAUACAUGCAAGUUGAGCGCUGAAGGUUGGUACUUGUACCAACUGGAUGAGCAGCGAACGGGUGAGUAACGCGUGGGGAAUCUGCCUUUGAGCGGGGGACAACAUUUGGAAACGAAUGCUAAUACCGCAUAAAAACUUUAAACACAAGUUUUAAGUUUGAAAGAUGCAAUUGCAUCACUCAAAGAUGAUCCCGCGUUGUAUUAGCUAGUUGGUGAGGUAAAGGCUCGCCAAGGCGAUGAUACAUAGCCGACCUGAGAGGGGGAGCGGCCACAUUGGGACUGAGACACGGCCCAAACUCCUACGGGAGGCAGCAGUAGGGAAUCUUCGGCAAUGGACGAAAGUCUGACCGAGCAACGCCGCGUGAGUGAAGAAGGUUUUCGGAUCGUAAAACUCUGUUGGUAGAGAAGAACGUUGGUGAGAGUGGAAAGCUCAUCAAGUGACGGUAACUACCCAGAAAGGGACGGCUAACUACGUG